AUUUCCUGGGCAUCUUGUUAAAAUGCAGAUUCUAAUUCAGUAGGUCUGGGGCAAGGCCCGAUAUUCUGCAUUUCUACCAAGCUCUCAGGUGAUGUUAG
This 98-nucleotide microRNA precursor is filed under the name Equus caballus (horse). RNAcentral's name for it is "mir-544 microRNA precursor family". It matches the Rfam family "mir-544 microRNA precursor family". Lineage: Eukaryota; Metazoa; Chordata; Mammalia; Perissodactyla; Equidae. The record is from Rfam by way of RNAcentral.